This 139-nucleotide ribosomal RNA is filed under the name uncultured eukaryote. Its description in RNAcentral is "partial 18S ribosomal RNA". It matches the Rfam family "Eukaryotic small subunit ribosomal RNA", at positions 1299 to 1458 of the family's 1831-position model. The record is from RNAcentral.
UGGUGGAGUGAUUUGUCUGGUUAAUUCCGUUAACGAACGAGACCUCGACCUGCUAAAUAGUUGGACAAAGGUUCGCCUUUGAUUCGACUUCUUAGAGGGACUAUCGGUGUGUAGCCGACGGAAGUUCGAGGCAAUAACA